AUACAGAGGGUGCAAGCGUUAAUCGGAUUUACUGGGCGUAAAGCGCGCGUAGGUGGCUAAUUAAGUCAAAUGUGAAAUCCCCGAGCUUAACUUGGGAAUUGCAUUCGAUACUGGUUAGCUAGAGUAUGGGAGAGGAUGGUAGAAUUCCAGGUGUGGCGGUGAAAUGCGUAGAGAUCUGGAGGAAUACCGAUGGCGAAGGCAGCCAUCUGGCCUAAUACUGACACUGAGGUGCGAAAGCAUGGGGAGCAAACAGGAUUAGAUACCCUGGUAGUCCAUGCCGUAAACGAUGUCUACUAGCCGUUGGGGCCCUUGAGGCUUUAGUGGCGCAGCUAACGCGAUAAGUAGACCGCCUGGGGAGUACGGUCGCAAGACUAAAACUCAAAUGAAUUGACGGGG
Molecule: ribosomal RNA, 396 nt
Filed under: uncultured bacterium
Lineage: Bacteria
Description: partial 16S ribosomal RNA
Rfam family: Bacterial small subunit ribosomal RNA
Source: RNAcentral